RNAcentral lists this ribosomal RNA (457 nucleotides) under Veillonella parvula. Its description in RNAcentral is "bacterial SSU rRNA". It matches the Rfam family "Bacterial small subunit ribosomal RNA", at positions 28 to 462 of the family's 1533-position model. The record is from RNAcentral. Lineage: Bacteria; Bacillati; Bacillota; Negativicutes; Veillonellales; Veillonellaceae.
GACGAACGCUGGCGGCGUGCUUAACACAUGCAAGUCGAACGAAGAGCGAUGGAAGCUUGCUUCUAUCAAUCUUAGUGGCGAACGGGUGAGUAACGCGUAAUCAACCUGCCCUUCAGAGGGGGACAACAGUUGGAAACGACUGCUAAUACCGCAUACGAUCUAAUCUCGGCAUCGAGGAUAGAUGAAAGGUGGCCUCUACAUGUAAGCUAUCACUGAAGGAGGGGAUUGCGUCUGAUUAGCUAGUUGGAGGGGUAACGGCCCACCAAGGCGAUGAUCAGUAGCCGGUCUGAGAGGAUGAACGGCCACAUUGGGACUGAGACACGGCCCAGACUCCUACGGGAGGCAGCAGUGGGGAAUCUUCCGCAAUGGACGAAAGUCUGACGGAGCAACGCCGCGUGAGUGAUGACGGCCUUCGGGUUGUAAAGCUCUGUUAAUCGGGACGAAAGGCCUUCUUGCG